Molecule: ribosomal RNA, 391 nt
Filed under: uncultured bacterium
Lineage: Bacteria
Description: partial 16S ribosomal RNA
Rfam family: Bacterial small subunit ribosomal RNA
Source: RNAcentral
CUAAGAAUAUUCCGCAAUGGACGGAAGUCUGACGGAGCGACGCCGCGUGGAUGAAGAAGGCCGAAAGGUUGUAAAGUUCUUUUGCUGGGGAAGAAUAACCGCAGGAGGGAAUGCCUGUGGGAUGACAAGAACCGGCGAAUAAGCCCCGGCCAACUACGUGCCAGCAGCCGCGGUAACACGUAGGGGGGCCGAGCGUUGUUCGGAAUUACUGGGCGUAAAGGGCAUGUAGGCGGCUUGGAAAGCCUGGGCGUGAAAAGUCUGCAGCUUAACUGCAGGGGUGCGCUGGGAACUGCUGAGCUUGAGUGACGGAGAGGGAGCUGGAAUUCCUGGUGUAGGGGGUGAAAUCUGUAGAUAUCAGGAAGAACACCGAUGGCGAAGGCAAGCUCCGUGG